GGUGCAUGGUUGUCGUCAGCUCGUGUCGUGAGAUGUUGGGUUAAGUCCCGCAACGAGCGCAACCCUUGUCUUUAGUUGCCAUCAUUAAGUCUGACACUCUAGUGAGACUGCAAGGGAUAACCUGGAGGAAGGUGGGGAUGACGUCAAAACAUCAUGCCUCUUAUGCAUAUGGCAAUACACGUGCUACAAUGGGUAGUACAGAGGGUUGCCAAGCCGUAAGGUGGAGCUAAUCCCUUAAAGCUACUCUCAGUUCGGAUUGUAGGCUGAAACUCGCCUACAUGAAGCUGGAGUUACUAGUAAUCGCAGAUCAGAAUGCUGCGGUGAAUGCGUUCCCGGGUCUUGUACACACCGCCCGUCACACCACGGGAGUUGGAGACGCCCGAAGCCGAUUAUCUAACCUUUUGGAAGAAGUCGUCGAAGGUGGAAUCAAUAACUGGGGUGAAGUCGUAACAAGGUAGCCGUAUCGGAAGGUGCGGCUGGAUCACCUCCUUUCUAAGGA
Molecule: ribosomal RNA, 499 nt
Filed under: Clostridioides difficile
Lineage: Bacteria; Bacillati; Bacillota; Clostridia; Peptostreptococcales; Peptostreptococcaceae
Description: bacterial SSU rRNA
Rfam family: Bacterial small subunit ribosomal RNA
Source: RNAcentral